Molecule: long non-coding RNA, 669 nt
Filed under: Bos indicus x Bos taurus (hybrid cattle)
Lineage: Eukaryota; Metazoa; Chordata; Mammalia; Artiodactyla; Bovidae
Description: lncRNA (ENSBIXG00005025006.1)
Source: RNAcentral
GUAAGCCACCUUGCUUCAGUCGUUAAAUUGUUUAAAAUUUAACUCGCAUAGCUAUAGCUCCUUUUCGAGUGCCUGCACUCUGUUCUAUGCUUUUGGCCUUGAUCUAACAUAUCUACCAAAGGUUGCAGAAGGUUUAAAGAAAAAAAAAAAAAAGUUUGCCCAAGGGCUAUGAUAAAGGAUAUUUGUCUUUGAGUGAAAUGCUCGUGUCUCUCACCCCUAAGUUUGGUGAAUCUCAUGAAUACACAUGGAAGUUUUUUGUGCCCUCAUUGCUUCUGCUUUUUCAAUAAUUCAGUUCACCUCCGAAAAUCCUGUUCCUUUCAGAUGUUCUGUAAUUAGAUGAGCAAAAGUUGAAAAGCCUGCGGAAAUGUACUUCUUAAGAUCGGAAUGACCAUGACUCACAGCCAAAGUUCACCUUCACGUCUGCUUUGGUGGCCUAGGCGGUGUGAACGGAUGGCAGCCUCCGUCUGAGGAGGGUUGAGCAUGGGUCUUAUGGAGAGAGAAGCAGAAACGGACAUGAGUCCAAGCUGGAGGAGAGACCUUCCCUAGCACCUGGGCGCCAUCACCUGAAUGCACUGGGGGCUUCUUGUGGAUGCAAAGCCUUGACAGCCUGGACCUGCCUCACCACCCUCCUGCCCCCCUGCCUGGGCAGUGAGGACUUUUCAGCCACAC